Molecule: ribosomal RNA, 2025 nt
Filed under: Triticum aestivum (bread wheat)
Lineage: Eukaryota; Viridiplantae; Streptophyta; Magnoliopsida; Poales; Poaceae
Description: partial small subunit ribosomal RNA
Source: RNAcentral
AUGACUCCAACUAAGCAACACCACCUCCAUGCUCUCCUGCUCCUCCUCAUAUGCUCCUACUCCAUAGAUGCUGCAGCCAAGCAUAAUGCCGCCGUCCCUUGCCACCCAGAUCAAGCUUCUUCCCUGCUCCAGUUGAAACAGUCCUUCAUCGACGUCGAUGCAAGCUUGGCUUCAUGGCGAGCUGGAAGUGACUGCUGUCACUGGGAGGGCGUCGCCUGUGAUGUGUCCUCGGGGAGAGUCGUUUCCCUAGACCUUGGUGGGUAUAACUUGGUGAGCCGUCGUCUUGACCCAGCAAUCUUCAACCUCACAUCUCUGCGGAACCUCAGCCUUGCGUACAAUGACUUCGGCGCCGCCAACCUCCCAUCUUAUGGGUUCGAGCACUUGACAAAUAUCAUCCAUCUCAACUUCUCCCUUACCAAUUUUUUUGGCCAGAUUCCCAUUGGAAUUGCUCGGCUCAAGAACCUUGUCACUCUUGAUUUUUCUGAUAAUUAUGGCUUAUAUAUGCAAGAGCCAAACUUCCAGACCUUCAUGGCAAAUCUAAGCUAUCUGAGAGAACUCCGCCUUGAUGGAGUGGACAUCUCCACCAGCGGAUCAAAUUGGUCCAUUGUUCUGGCGGACUCUGUUCCUCAGCUGCAAAUUCUUAGCUUGUUUCUGUGCGGCAAAAUUCCAAAAUCUUUGUUCGCUCUUCCAGCGUUGCAUACACUUAUGUUAAGUUCAAAUCAACUUUCUGGUGCUCUGGAAGAAAUUCCUGCCCCGUGGUCUUCAAGCUUAUCUUCUAUUUGGUUAGACCACAAUGAUCUCACGGGUGCAAUACCCAAAUCAUUCUUUCAUCUUAAUCAUCUCAAAGAUCUCUACCUUGGCUCAAAUAGAUUAGCAGGCACAAUUACACUUAGCUCUUUUUGGAGGUUGAAGAGCCUUAGUUCACUAAGUUUGUCCUAUAACAUGCUAUCAAUUGUGGACGAAGAAGAUGACACUAUAUUAACCUCUCUCCCUAACGUCAACUACCUAGAACUUGCAUCUUGCAACCUCACCAAAAUUCCUCGAGCACUGAGAUAUCUAGGUGGAGUUAUAAGCCUCGACCUUUCUAAUAAUCAAAUUAAUGGGGUUAUACCAAGUUGGGACCUAGAGCUUUUUGAUGUUGGCAAUAAUCAGAUUGUCGGUUCUUUUCCAUCUUGGUUGGGUGCUCUUCCACAGCUUCGAGUUCUUGUAUUAAGAUCCAACCAACUCAAUGGUACAAUAUGGGAUAUUAAAGCUGACCGUACAAUCAAUAAAUACUUCUCAACUUUGCAAAUACUUGAUUUGGCCUCCAACAACUUCUCUGGAAACGUACCAAAAGGAUGGUUUAAUGAACUGAAUGCAAUGAUGGAAAAUGUCAAUGAUGAGGGACAGGUUGUAGGGCAGCAAACAAACCUGCCAAAUGGAUUCUAUCAAGAUACUGUCACUGUGACAUUCAAAGAUCUCAAGCUUAUUUUCACCAAGAUAUUGACCACUUUCAAAGUGAUUGAUUUUUCACAUAACUCGUUUGAUGGUUCUAUUCCGGAGUCAAUUGGGAGGCUUGCUUCACUGCAUGGACUCAACAUGUCAUACAAUAACUUCACGGGGCAAAUCCCAUCUCAGUUCAGCAACUUGUCUCAGCUGGAGUCAUUGGAUCUAUCUCGGAACCAUAUCACAGGGGAAAUACCACAUGAGUUAACCUCACUUACCUCCCUUGGAUGUCUGGAUCUUUCAUACAACAACUUGUCUGGAAGAAUCCCGCAAGGCAACCAGUUCUCAACAUUUUCUGACAAUUCAUUUGAAGGCAAUGCAGACCUCUGUGGAGUUCCACUCUCCAAAGAAUGUGAAAGUCAAAACUCAGUUUCUCCAAGUGAAGUGGCUCCUCCAGAAUAUGAAAGCUUGUGGCAGGACAAACUCGGUGUUAUCCUUUUGUUUGCUUUUGUUGGCUUGGGAUUUGGAGUCGGCUUUGCAUUGGCAUUCUUGUUGCGGAUGUAUUGUGGUAUGGAAGGAUGGGUCAGCAAGCAAUCAUGA